GAGUUUGAUCGUGGCUCAGGACGAACGCUGGCGGCGCGCUUAACACAUGCAAGUCGAGCGAGAACUAGUCCUCCGGGACUAGGGACAGCGGCGAACGGGUGAGUAACACGUGAGUAAUCCACCCUCGGUACCGGAAUAGCCCGGGGAAACUCGGAUUAAUGCCGGAUGGCCCAUUUGCUCUUCGGAGCUGAAUGGAAAAGAUAGCUUCGGCCUUCGACCGGGGACGAGCUCGCGGCGGAUUAGCUUGUUGGCGGGGUAACGGCCCACCAAGGCGACGAUCCGUAGCUGGUCUGAGAGGACGAUCAGCCACACUGGGACUGAGACACGGCCCAGACUCCUACGGGAGGCAGCAGUGGGAAUCUUGCGCAAUGGGCGAAAGCCUGACGCAGCGACGCCGCGUGAGGGAAGAAGGCCUGG
This 417-nucleotide ribosomal RNA is filed under the name uncultured bacterium. RNAcentral's name for it is "bacterial SSU rRNA". It matches the Rfam family "Bacterial small subunit ribosomal RNA", at positions 9 to 419 of the family's 1533-position model. The record is from RNAcentral.